AUUGAACGCUGGCGGCAUGCCUUACACAUGCAAGUCGAACGGCAGCACGGGGCAACCUGGUGGCGAGUGGCGAACGGGUGAGUAAUGCAUCGGAACGUGCCAUUGAGUGGGGGAUAACGUAGCGAAAGUUGCGCUAAUACCGCAUAUUCUGUGAGCAGGGAAAGCAGGGGGACCGCAAGGCCUUGCGCUCUUUGAGCGGCCGAUGUCAGAUUAGCUAGUUGGUGAGGUAACGGCUUACCAAGGCGACGAUCUGUAGCGGGUCUGAGAGGAUGAUCCGCCACACUGGAACUGAGACCCGGGUCCAGACUCCUACGGGAGGCAGCAGUGGGGAAUUUUGGACAAUGGGCGCAAGCCUGAUCCAGCCAUGCCGCGUGAGUGAAGAAGGCCUCGG
This 391-nucleotide ribosomal RNA is filed under the name uncultured bacterium. Its description in RNAcentral is "bacterial SSU rRNA". It matches the Rfam family "Bacterial small subunit ribosomal RNA", at positions 30 to 420 of the family's 1533-position model. The record is from RNAcentral.